RNAcentral lists this ribosomal RNA (379 nucleotides) under uncultured bacterium. RNAcentral describes it as "bacterial SSU rRNA". It matches the Rfam family "Bacterial small subunit ribosomal RNA", at positions 523 to 898 of the family's 1533-position model. The record is from RNAcentral.
AUACGUAGGGUGCAAGCGUUGUCCGGAAUUAUUGGGCGUAAAGAGCUCGUAGGCGGUGUGUCACGUCUGCCGUGAAAACCUGCGGCUUAACCGUGGGCGUGCGGUGGAUACGGGCAUCACUUGAGUUCGGUAGGGGAGACUGGAAUUCCUGGUGUAGCGGUGGAAUGCGCAGAUAUCAGGAGGAACACCGGUGGCGAAGGCGGGUCUCUGGGCCGAUACUGACGCUGAGGAGCGAAAGCGUGGGGAGCGAACAGGAUUAGAUACCCUGGUAGUCCACGCCGUAAACGCUGGGCGCUAGGUGUGGGGUGCUGUUCACGUGUCCCGUGCCGUAGCUAACGCAUUAAGCGCCCCGCCUGGGGAGUACGGCCGCAAGGCUAAA